Molecule: ribosomal RNA, 305 nt
Filed under: uncultured bacterium
Lineage: Bacteria
Description: bacterial SSU rRNA
Rfam family: Bacterial small subunit ribosomal RNA
Source: RNAcentral
CUGACCCGGGGGGCAGCAGUGAGGAAUAUUGGUCAAUGGACGGAAGUCUGAACCAGCCAUGCCGCGCGCAGGAAGACGGCUCUAUGAGUUGUAAACUGCUUUUGUACAAGGGUAAACCUGAAUACGUGUAUUCAGCUGAAAGUACUGUACGAAUAAGGAUCGGCUAACUCCGUGCCAGCAGCCGCGGUAAUACGGAGGAUCCAAGCGUUAUCCGGAUUUAUUGGGUUUAAAGGGUGCGUAGGCGGAUUGACAAGUUAGAGGCGAACUGUCCGAGCUCAACUCGGGAACUGCCUCUAAUACUGUUG